Molecule: ribosomal RNA, 382 nt
Filed under: uncultured eukaryote
Lineage: Eukaryota
Description: partial 18S ribosomal RNA
Rfam family: Eukaryotic small subunit ribosomal RNA
Source: RNAcentral
CAAUAGCGUAUAUUAAAGUUGUUGCAGUUAAAAAGCUCGUAGUUGGAUUUCUGGUUGAAGCGACCGGUCGGGCGUUGAUUCGUCUGCACUGGGGUCGGUUUUGGCCAUCCUCUAGGAAAGUGCGUCUGGUAUUAAGUUAUCGGGCGUAUGAUCCUGGUCUUUUACUGUGAAAAAAUUAGAGUGUUUAAAGCAGGCCUUCGCCUUGAAUACAUUAGCAUGGAAUAAUAAGAUAGGACUUUGGUCUAUUUUGUUGGUUUGCAGACCGAAGUAAUGAUUAAUAGGGAUAGUUGGGGGUAUUUAUAUUCCGAUGUCAGAGGUGAAAUUCUUAGAUUUUCGGAAGAUAAACUUAUGCGAAAGCAUUUACCAAGGAUGUUUUCAUUAA